Molecule: ribosomal RNA, 2906 nt
Filed under: Klebsiella oxytoca
Lineage: Bacteria; Pseudomonadati; Pseudomonadota; Gammaproteobacteria; Enterobacterales; Enterobacteriaceae
Description: 23S ribosomal RNA
Rfam family: Bacterial large subunit ribosomal RNA
Source: RNAcentral
GGUUAAGCGACUAAGCGUACACGGUGGAUGCCCUGGCAGUCAGAGGCGAUGAAGGACGUGCUAAUCUGCGAAAAGCGUCGGUAAGGUGAUAUGAACCGUUACAGCCGGCGAUGUCCGAAUGGGGAAACCCAGUGCAAUUCGUUGCACUAUCGUUAACUGAAUACAUAGGUUAACGAGGCGAACCGGGGGAACUGAAACAUCUAAGUACCCCGAGGAAAAGAAAUCAACCGAGAUUCCCCCAGUAGCGGCGAGCGAACGGGGAGCAGCCCGGAGUCUGAAUCAGCUUGUGUGUUAGUGGAAGCGUCUGGAAAGUCGCAGGGUACAGGGUGAUACUCCCGUACACUAAAACACACAGGCUGUGAACUCGAAGAGUAGGGCGGGACACGUGGUAUCCUGUCUGAAUAUGGGGGGACCAUCCUCCAAGGCUAAAUACUCCUGACUGACCGAUAGUGAACCAGUACCGUGAGGGAAAGGCGAAAAGAACCCCGGCGAGGGGAGUGAAAAAGAACCUGAAACCGUGUACGUACAAGCAGUAGGAGCCCACUAGUUGGGUGACUGCGUACCUUUUGUAUAAUGGGUCAGCGACUUAUAUUCUGUAGCAAGGUUAACCGAAUAGGGGAGCCGCAGGGAAACCGAGUCUUAACUGGGCGUUAAGUUGCAGGGUAUAGACCCGAAACCCGGUGAUCUAGCCAUGGGCAGGUUGAAGGUUGGGUAACACUAACUGGAGGACCGAACCGACUAAUGUUGAAAAAUUAGCGGAUGACUUGUGGCUGGGGGUGAAAGGCCAAUCAAACCGGGAGAUAGCUGGUUCUCCCCGAAAGCUAUUUAGGUAGCGCCUCGUGAACUCAUCUUCGGGGGUAGAGCACUGUUUCGGCUAGGGGGUCAUCCCGACUUACCAACCCGAUGCAAACUACGAAUACCGAAGAAUGUUAUCACGGGAGACACACGGCGGGUGCUAACGUCCGUCGUGAAGAGGGAAACAACCCAGACCGCCAGCUAAGGUCCCAAAGUCAUGGUUAAGUGGGAAACGAUGUGGGAAGGCCCAGACAGCCAGGAUGUUGGCUUAGAAGCAGCCAUCAUUUAAAGAAAGCGUAAUAGCUCACUGGUCGAGUCGGCCUGCGCGGAAGAUGUAACGGGGCUAAACCAUGCACCGAAGCUGCGGCAGCGACACUAUGUGUUGUUGGGUAGGGGAGCGUUCUGUAAGCCGUUGAAGGUGGCCUGUGAGGGUUGCUGGAGGUAUCAGAAGUGCGAAUGCUGACAUAAGUAACGAUAAUGCGGGUGAAAAACCCGCACGCCGGAAGACCAAGGGUUCCUGUCCAACGUUAAUCGGGGCAGGGUGAGUCGACCCCUAAGGCGAGGCCGAAAGGCGUAGUCGAUGGGAAACAGGUUAAUAUUCCUGUACUUGGUGUUACUGCGAAGGGGGGACGGAGAAGGCUAUGUUGGCCGGGCGACGGUUGUCCCGGUUUAAGCAUGUAGGCGGAUGUUCCAGGUAAAUCCGGAACGUUAUUAACGCUGAGGUGUGAUGACGAGGCACUACGGUGCUGAAGUGACAAAUGCCCUGCUUCCAGGAAAAGCCUCUAAGCAUCAGGUAACAUCAAAUCGUACCCCAAACCGACACAGGUGGUCAGGUAGAGAAUACCAAGGCGCUUGAGAGAACUCGGGUGAAGGAACUAGGCAAAAUGGUGCCGUAACUUCGGGAGAAGGCACGCUGAUGGUAGGUGAAGUGACUUGCUCACGGAGCUGAAAUCAGUCGAAGAUACCAGCUGGCUGCAACUGUUUAUUAAAAACACAGCACUGUGCAAACACGAAAGUGGACGUAUACGGUGUGACGCCUGCCCGGUGCCGGAAGGUUAAUUGAUGGGGUUAUCCUCACGGAGAAGCUCUUGAUCGAAGCCCCGGUAAACGGCGGCCGUAACUAUAACGGUCCUAAGGUAGCGAAAUUCCUUGUCGGGUAAGUUCCGACCUGCACGAAUGGCGUAAUGAUGGCCAGGCUGUCUCCACCCGAGACUCAGUGAAAUUGAACUCGCUGUGAAGAUGCAGUGUACCCGCGGCAAGACGGAAAGACCCCGUGAACCUUUACUAUAGCUUGACACUGAACACUGGUCCUUGAUGUGUAGGAUAGGUGGGAGGCUUUGAAGUGUGGACGCCAGUCUGCAUGGAGCCGUCCUUGAAAUACCACCCUUUAAUGGCUGGUGUUCUAACGUGGGCCCGUGAUCCGGGUUGCGGACAGUGUCUGGUGGGUAGUUUGACUGGGGCGGUCUCCUCCUAAAGAGUAACGGAGGAGCACGAAGGUCAGCUAAUCCUGGUCGGACAUCAGGAGGUUAGUGCAAUGGCAUAAGCUGGCUUGACUGCGAGCGUGACGGCGCGAGCAGGUGCGAAAGCAGGUCAUAGUGAUCCGGUGGUUCUGAAUGGAAGGGCCAUCGCUCAACGGAUAAAAGGUACUCCGGGGAUAACAGGCUGAUACCGCCCAAGAGUUCAUAUCGACGGCGGUGUUUGGCACCUCGAUGUCGGCUCAUCACAUCCUGGGGCUGAAGUAGGUCCCAAGGGUAUGGCUGUUCGCCAUUUAAAGUGGUACGCGAGCUGGGUUUAGAACGUCGUGAGACAGUUCGGUCCCUAUCUGCCGUGGGCGCUGGAGAAUUGAGGGGGGCUGCUCCUAGUACGAGAGGACCGGAGUGGACGCAUCACUGGUGUUCGGGUUGUCAUGCCAAUGGCAUUGCCCGGUAGCUAAAUGCGGAAGAGAUAAGUGCUGAAAGCAUCUAAGCACGAAACUUGCCCCGAGAUGAGUUCUCCCUGACCCUUUAAGGGUCCUGAAGGAACGUUGAAGACGACGACGUUGAUAGGCCGGGUGUGUAAGCGCAGCGAUGCGUUGAGCUAACCGGUACUAAUGAACCGUGAGGCUUAACCUU